Molecule: long non-coding RNA, 440 nt
Filed under: Sorghum bicolor (sorghum)
Lineage: Eukaryota; Viridiplantae; Streptophyta; Magnoliopsida; Poales; Poaceae
Description: long non-coding RNA (SBIC_LNC012907)
Source: RNAcentral
AGUGGGCAUCUUUGUACUCCUAAUUCUACUCCGGACACUUGUCCAUUUUUACCUCUCGUCUCACUCUUUCUUUUUUCUUUCUUUUUCGAGGUUGCGGGCACUCGCCCCUUUUUAUUUCCUCGCAUAUUUUUGCAUAACCCAUGCCUCUUCUGCAUUAAAUCUUUUUAGAGGGAGAGAACAACAAUAUUUGGGACAGUGAGUGAUAAUAUUUUUAGCAAUUUUAAUGAUUGGUGAUGAAUGGUGUAGUGGAUGUGUGCAAGUGAAUAUCUUAAUUUAACCACAUGAAAAGCUCCUAAGGGUCUACACAGCUUGAUCAAACUCAAUGUGAAUAUAGUAAAAGAUGUUAUAGCAAGUAUGGCUGUGGUAGGUAGUUUGUAAUGCUAGGAACUCAUCAUGUGAUUUGUAAGUUUCCAAAAUAAAUCUCCAGAACUUAGUGUAGU